GAUGAAGAACGUAGCGAAAUGCGAUAAGUAAUGUGAAUUGCAGAAUUCAGUGAAUCAUCGAAUCUUUGAACGCACAUUGCGCCCGCCAGUAUUCUGGCGGGCAUGCCUGUUCGAGCGUCAUUUCAACCAUCAAGCCCUGCUUGCGUUGGGGUCCUGCGGCUGCCCGCAGGCCCUGAAAACCAGUGGCGGGCUCGCUAGUCACACCGAGCGCAGUAAUACAUCUCGCUUUGGGCGUGCGGCGGGUUCUUGCCGUUAAACACCCCCUUUUUACCAAGGUUGACCUCGGAUCAGGUAGGAAUACCCGCUGAACUUAAGCAUAUCAAAAGCGGAGGA
This 333-nucleotide unclassified non-coding RNA is filed under the name soil metagenome. Its description in RNAcentral is "partial contains 5.8S ribosomal RNA, internal transcribed spacer 2, and large subunit ribosomal RNA". The stretch from base 1 to 120 matches the Rfam family "5.8S ribosomal RNA", at positions 35 to 154 of the family's 154-position model. The record is from RNAcentral.